This 41-nucleotide non-coding RNA is filed under the name Mycobacterium tuberculosis. The record is from RNAcentral. Lineage: Bacteria; Bacillati; Actinomycetota; Actinomycetes; Mycobacteriales; Mycobacteriaceae.
CAGGUGAGCAACGGCGGCGGCAACCUGGCGGCCACGGGUCG